This 200-nucleotide ribosomal RNA is filed under the name uncultured bacterium. RNAcentral's name for it is "partial 16S ribosomal RNA". It matches the Rfam family "Bacterial small subunit ribosomal RNA", at positions 524 to 716 of the family's 1533-position model. The record is from RNAcentral.
UACGUAGGGUGCAAGCGUUGCCCGGAUUUAUUGGGCGUAAAGGGCGCGUAGGCGGCUCGGCACGUCCGUUGUGAAAUACGCCCCGGGCUCAACUGGGGACCGGGGUCAGCGGAUACGGCCGAGCUUGAGCAAGCGUAGGGGCAAUGGAAUUCCCGGUGUAGUGGUGGAAUGCGUAGAUAGUCGGGAGGAACACCAGUGGC